UACGUAUGUCGCAAGCGUUAUCCGGAAUUAUUGGGCAUAAAGGGCAUCUAGGCGGUUUGGUAAGUUCGAUGUGAAAAUGCGGGGCUCAACUCCGUAUUGCGUUGAAAACUGCCAGACUAGAGUUUUGGAGGGGUAGGCGGAACUACAAGUGUAGAGGUGAAAUUCGUAGAGAUUUGUAGGAAUGCCGAUGACGAAGGUAGCUUACUGGACAAAUACUGACGCUGAAGUGCGAAAGCUAGGGGAGCAAACAGG
Molecule: ribosomal RNA, 252 nt
Filed under: uncultured bacterium
Lineage: Bacteria
Description: partial 16S ribosomal RNA
Rfam family: Bacterial small subunit ribosomal RNA
Source: RNAcentral